This 110-nucleotide non-coding RNA is filed under the name Oceanobacillus iheyensis. RNAcentral describes it as "SAM-I sequence". It matches the Rfam family "SAM riboswitch aptamer (S box leader)". Rfam says of the family: The SAM riboswitch is found upstream of a number of genes which code for proteins involved in methionine or cysteine biosynthesis in Gram-positive bacteria. The SAM riboswitch acts at the level of transcription termination control. The record is from RNAcentral. Lineage: Bacteria; Bacillati; Bacillota; Bacilli; Caryophanales; Bacillaceae. RNAcentral also lists the same sequence under 1 other name.
CUCUUAUCAAGAGUGGUGGAGGGAAUAGGCCCUGCGAAGCCCGGCAACCUGUAGCAAUUGCUAUUGAAAGGUGCUAAAUCCUACAGACUUCAUCGUCUGGAAGAUAAGAG